UCUCUGAUGUGAUUGGUCAAAAGACCAAUUAGUGGGAAAAUAUUAGAAUCGUCAGCCUGUCUAAACGCAGCAUAACUAAUUAGGAUAAAAUAUUUUCUAACAAUUGGAGGUAUAUUUUUUACCAAUCAGAGCAGCUUUUUAGCUAAUAAUUGCAAUAACAUAUCUGUAGAUUGUGGUUACUACAUGCUGUGGCCACUGCUAUUGAGGCUACUAGCGCUGUCUCUGCUCCACACUCCAGCACAAUAAGUGGCGGUAAUACAUCAACGAAGGAUGCUAACAGCCCCCCCCCCCGAACAACAAAAUAACCACAGGAGAAGGCUGCUAGGUAGUGGCCUUUGUCCCCGCCGACAUGUACUGCUUUCCGGCAGUUCUGUUAACAGUACGCCCAGAUGAGGAGGAAGAGAGGAGAAGGAAGCGAGAGGAGUAGGGAGGGAGGAGGGAUGUAACCUUGACUCAGAUUACCAGCCGGCACACAGGCAGGAAGGAGGAAAUGUCACCAUGGCAACACAAACCACCAGCAGAUCCUCUUAUCCAGAGUGACUUACAGUACUGGCCCCCCGUGGGAAUUGCACCCACAACCCUGGCGUUGCCAGCGCCAUAAUCAGCCAUGCUCAGCCAUGCUCAACUGAGCCACAAGGGACAACUUUAAACCCACUGCAUUAGAGAUUGGCAUUUUAUGUUUUUUGACAGUUCGAGUACCUCACAUGAUUUAUUUUAGUACACAAAUUUAAUAAGGUAUAUACAGUACUUUGCAAAAGUAUUCACCCCCCUUGGCGUUUUCACAUUUUGUUGCAUUACAACCUGUAAUUGAAAUGGUUUUU
Oncorhynchus mykiss (rainbow trout) is the source of this 821-nucleotide non-coding RNA. The record is from RefSeq and is a predicted model, not a curated record. Lineage: Eukaryota; Metazoa; Chordata; Actinopteri; Salmoniformes; Salmonidae.